GACACUACUAUAAGCAGAGUUUUCAUAUUGCAUUGGUUUUUUUUACAAAACCAAAAUUUACUUUGUCCUCAAGUUGUAAAAUGUGUGCAGAAGUUAAAAUCCUUAAGCAUAAAAAAGAGAUUAUAGCACCUCCUGCAGGGGAGGCAGGAUAAUUACAUCCUUUUUUGUUUUUAUAGAACAGACGAUUUUGCAUACUUUUCCUCACGGGCCCAGUUUCAUUAGUGCUGAAGAACUUAAGAGUCAGAGUGAGUGAAUAAACACAGCUGUAUUUCAGGUCAACAUGGUCAACCAGUCAAUGUCAUACAAGUGUGAAUAAUCUGACCACAUGGAUUAUUCUAUUAAAACCGUUAGUUUAAACAUUCAUGACAGGUGACUCUCUUAUUACGUCAACAGUGUUAUUUUUGUGGUGUACACAAACAUUCUCACAACAUUGACAAUGACAACAACAAUGAUUUGGAUCAGUAAAAAGUAAAAAAAAAGUGUUAAAAAGAUAGUUGAUAAUUAUCGUCGUGUUAACAAAAUAUACACAGACAUACUUAAAUCUUAGUCUCUACAUUUUACAGUGUAAAUCUGCUCUCUUUUGGUUAUAGUCGUUACUUUCAGUGAUAGUUAACUGUGGUAUUCCAUAUAAUAUCUACGUUAUUCAUCUACCUAUAGUUAUAGCUAUUUUUUUUGUGUGAAAAGUGUACACUAUCAUUACACCCCAGUCAAAACUGAAAGUCACGUUCAGUGCCUGACGGUGCCGUAUAGGGAAAGUGCGCGAGUCCUGUCGACCAAUCACAAACCAGCUCUGCUCUGUCAGCAUUAUAUACAUUUUCGUACGUAGAACCAUGCAGACGGAGCAGGCACACAACACCAGCAUCACUAUCAUUUGUCGACUGCAUGAAAUGUGGGAAACAAAGUCCACAGUUUGUGCUACACGCAGCAGUGUGGUCCAUGGACCGGAAGUGGUGUAUGGGACGAAAGGUAACGAAAAAACGGACUUGGAAUCGGAAACAGCCCACAGAAUUAGUUAUCUGAAAUCACAAAGCAGCCAAACUUUUAAAUGUUAUGUACGUUUUACCAUAAUAAUGUACGUAAUUACAAAUGUAUAUAUUUGUUUUAUUAUAUUAAACUUGUAGGAUUUUGAGUGUUUCAUGGGUAAGUGCCUCCAGGGACAACCAUGAAAAAAAGUUCACAAUAUCUUAAAACUGUAAUUCAUUAGAAAAAGCUUAGGACGUUAAAGUAUGUGUAAAUUGCUGUUUUGACGUCAUCUCUGUGAUUUAUUCCCCCCCCCCUGCAGGUGAUUAAGGUCUAAAUGCGUUGCAGCAGCUGGUCAGCAGAGGGCGCUGUGUGUAUAAGGUAUCGAUGAUCAACACCUGGGGCUAUUAGAGUGAGACGUCCCAGUGCAGCGGGAGUUCAGAGAAACAAAAGAUGCUAAAUGAAUGCUACUCUGUCGGUUAAUGUUUCUCAGAAUUAAAGAAGUUUAAAAUGCUACACGGAGGACGGCCACCGUUUCGUUCUUCAAGACAAGUUGGACAGGAUUCACACUACUGCGUGUAGCUUCAGGUCACGUGACGAUCCAUGUCAGACAAUUUAUUCUUCUUUGUCCUGGAAGGACGAGCGCAGGAGAAACAAUCGAGCGUCUGACUGCUGCGGAUUCUCAGUGGAGAGGACAAUGAUUUUUUUUUUCCUCCAUUUUUAUCUGCGUCAUCUGUGAAGCUGCAGUAUGUGCUGAAAACGAUUAAAACCGAGGGGGAAAAAAUGCAAGUUGAGCUCAGUGACUCAUGUGAAAAGGCUGAGACUGGUGAUGGACGGCCCGGUGAAGACGAUGGUGUUCUUCCCAGAGAUGUUCUGACACAGCUGUUUGGCCACCAGACUGUGAAGUUGAGUCUUGUUCUUCAAGGUGGCCAGAGUCUCCGAGCCCUGGCCUUCCUUCAGGUGCACUGCGAUCUGUGGGGUCAGAGGUCAAGCAGAGAAAACACCCCACAGAUAUUUAAAUAGAAUUACUUCAUGUAAGCAAUAUCUUCCAAAACAAAAUCUAAAUACAUAAAUAGUGCAUCAAAUUUAUUCCAAAAAUAUUUUCCUUUGGUUUAAAGUAUUGAUGAUGUCACAGUUCCUAAACUCAAAUGUAAAAUGUGUAACAUCCCCCUGACCCUUACCUGGUGACUGCUGGGAUAUCUGAGCCAGUAUUUAACCAGCAAACACAGGUUAAUUCUUCAUGUUGUUGCUCAGAGGCUGAAUGUUGUCAACGUGACCAGUCUGAACAUCAAAUGUGUGUAUCAUUCAGUCUGUCUCUGUGUGUGUGUGUGUGCUUCUGUACCUAAUGGAAUCCCAUGGAUUCACUCCAUUAACUCGUUAAAUUUCUUCUUUUUUUUUCUCUCCCUCUCGAGAAAAAGGCCUGAGAGCAGACACACAGCAGAGCAGAGCAGCCAAAUGACCCCAGUCAGCGUGAAUGUUAAUGUUCAUUUAAUAAACACGGAGAUGAUGAUGGAAAAUUGAUUCAACUGUGACCGAGUCUGUGGAGCUGCUAAUUUAACAUCUUCCUGUUUAAAAUGGCAAAUUUUGAGAAGUGACUAUAAAUAAGGAAUUACAACAAUGCCGACUGUUGAGUCAUGACUACAACCUGCACCUACACGUGCUCACCCUCUGCUCUCUUUCUGUACAGGUGGUAAUAAACACGGGAUCCUCGUCUAUUAAAGGCUCGUGGAGAACCUGGAAUCACAUGUCUGAAGGUGCAGCUGAACGACUGCUGCAGUGAGUCCAGGAACGGCUGGAUCUUGUACAGGCCCUGGUUGCUUCCCUGUGACGGCCUGAAGGCCACGAUGUGGAAAUACUUCAGGAUCUUCUCGAAGCGCGCCUGGC
Molecule: long non-coding RNA, 2844 nt
Organism: Cynoglossus semilaevis (tongue sole)
Lineage: Eukaryota; Metazoa; Chordata; Actinopteri; Pleuronectiformes; Cynoglossidae
Exons: 7
Source: RefSeq, a predicted model, not a curated record